RNAcentral lists this ribosomal RNA (497 nucleotides) under uncultured bacterium. RNAcentral's name for it is "partial 16S ribosomal RNA". It matches the Rfam family "Bacterial small subunit ribosomal RNA", at positions 28 to 507 of the family's 1533-position model. The record is from RNAcentral.
GAUGAACGCUGGCGGCGUGCCUAAUACAUGCAAGUCGAGCGAACAGACGAGGAGCUUGCUCCUCUGACGUUAGCGGCGGACGGGUGAGUAACACGUGGAUAACCUACCUAUAAGACUGGGAUAACUUCGGGAAACCGGAGCUAAUACCGGAUAACAUGUUGAACCGCAUGGUUCAACAGUGAAAGACGGUCUUGCUGUCACUUAUAGAUGGAUCCGCGCCGCAUUAGCUAGUUGGUAAGGUAACGGCUUACCAAGGCAACGAUGCGUAGCCGACCUGAGAGGGUGAUCGGCCACACUGGAACUGAGACACGGUCCAGACUCCUACGGGAGGCAGCAGUAGGGAAUCUUCCGCAAUGGGCGAAAGCCUGACGGAGCAACGCCGCGUGAGUGAAGAAGGUCUUCGGAUCGUAAAACUCUGUUAUUAGGGAAGAACAAAUGUGUAAGUAACUAUGCACGUCUUGGCGGUACCUAAUCAGAAAGCCACGGCUAACUACGUG